AUGAGGGAGAGCCUGAACCCGCCUUCCUGGGCUCACAUGGCCCAGCUCCAGGAGUCUGCACAAAUAAGCACAAUUCCUGUGGUGACCUCUACCGCAGAGCUGGGUAGAACCUCCGUGGGAACCAACCUUCAACUCUUCCUUACAAAACACAGCAAAAAGCCAAAGGGAAAAGCAAUUCCACCCGUCGCCGGGCCCGGCCCCCGCCUGCUGUCCGGAUUGACAGACCUGCAGGCCAUCAGCUCCGGGUCCCGGGGCUGGACCGGUGACCUAGUGAGAGAAAAAUCCCCAUGUAGGCAUGUGACCUUGCUCCUGCGUGCUGACAGAUGUGAGUCAAGGAAAAUGGGGAUAAGGUCCUGGAGCCAGCUGCUCUUCUUGCUGACCAAUCCCUGCACCCCUCUCUGACCAAUCCCUGCUCUCUUCUCUUCUCUCUGGCCAAUCCCUGCUCUCCCCUCUCCUCCUGCCCUACUCAGUGCUCCAAGCCCUCAGUGAGGCGGCGGCGCUGCUAGGCUGAAGAGUCGCGUGACUGGGCAAAUGGCCCAGUGAUCCAACUGGACUCUGGUGCCUGGGGAUCGGAAGAACUGAGGGGAGGAGACCUGAACCAGCAGGUUCAUCCAAACUUUGCCGGUCACCCUGCCUGCCAAAGUUGCCACCUGCUGCCUGGGUCUGAGGGUCAGAGUUCAAUUCAACUCUCGUCCUUUCUCCUCCUCCCUCUUGUGGGUGCAACUUCUCCCUGGCCCGGUGCCCCUCCUACCAGGCAGUCCCCAGCCCUGGCUCCCCCAGCCCCACCUCCCAGGGAACGGGGAGGGGCCGGCUGGGUGCGUUAGACAGGAUGGCUCCAGGCACAGCAUCUGCCAGGGAACUCCUCAAGCCACCUCGAUGGAGCCGGAGGGCGGCAGUGGUUUUGGGACUAUCACAGCCCCCACAACCAGUCUAUCCGCUAUCCCCUGGCAGGGAGCCCAUGGAGGCGCAGUGUUCAGGGGCUCUGCCCACGUUCCACUGGUUGGGCAUGGGCAUCGUGCCAGCACUGCUCUCUGACCCCUGGUGUUCAGGGGCUGCGCACCCUGGGCCGCCCUGCCAUCCUCCCCUCAGCCCCCCGCUGCAGCAGGAGAGAUCGAGGCCUGGCAGUCAGGGCACACAGCUGCUGCCAAAGGUCAUGUCGGGGGCCUGGACCCUAGGAGCCUGGAGCAAACUCCACUGACACUCAACAAGGUGGGAGAAGCACCCCACGCCUCCUCUGCCCUCCCUAUCAAUGUCACCGUUCGCUGCAUCUCUAAGCGCCAGAUGGAGUCAGAGCACUGACCGCUGCCCCAGCAUUCUCAGGGAGUCCGGAGUUUCCAGUGAGUCUGAAGAGCCUCAUGUUCCCAGCGAUCGCCCCCUUGGAAGAGCAGGGAAUCAGAAGCAGCUCUGGGAUUGCUCCUCUGAGGCCCAUCCCACAAAGACAAAAGCACUUGGGGAGGCCUCGUUCUCGCCCCAGGCCCCACUGGACCCUGCCGCCACAUGACCAAAGCUGAUCCAGUUCUCUCUGCCAGCAGGGCCUACAGCAGGCUGGCACGGCCACCAUAGCAAAGUGGACAGGUUCUCCCGAGGCAGUACCAUCACCUGACCCAGCCAGGACUGCUCACUACCCAUCAAUGGCCACCUGUGCUGCUGCUUCCAUCACGCCUGGCUCCACAGAAGGCCAGGACCACUGCAGAGUUGUUCAGAGAGUGGGCAAGGGCCUAGGUGGUAUAUGCAUGACUUCUAACCUGAGCCUGAGGGCAUGCAUGGUCCGUGUGACUGGGACGUCUGACCCUGCUCUCUGACCCUGCCCCAGCCCUUUUGCCCCAAAAGAGACCAAGGCCACUGGACUGAGCCAGACACGGAGACAUGGGAUGCGGGCAUGGGGGAAGUGGAGACAAGGGGCUGGGGGUGGAGGAUGGAUAUGGGAUUCGGGCCUCCCUUCAUCCACACAUCCCACCAUCCUGGGGAAGAAACAAAGCUGAGGAUACUUUACGUUUCUCGUGUUCCCUUCGUGCCCCACUCCCGAUGGCCUCGGUGGGGCCAGAUGGGGCGGCGGGGGCUCCCGGGCCACCUCUCCCUUCUCCGAGCUGGGCACACGCUUGCAGGACUUGCUGGAAUCUCAGCAGCGAGGUCAGCUUGGGCCCCGGAUGGUGGGUGGCAUCGCUCCUUCCUUCCCCGCCUGAGUUAACUAUUAACCCUGGUGUCCCUCAGCCUGGCAGAUGAU
Molecule: long non-coding RNA, 2224 nt
Filed under: Ornithorhynchus anatinus (platypus)
Lineage: Eukaryota; Metazoa; Chordata; Mammalia; Monotremata; Ornithorhynchidae
Description: lncRNA (ENSOANG00000044915.1)
Source: RNAcentral